RNAcentral lists this unclassified non-coding RNA (515 nucleotides) under Hevea brasiliensis (rubber tree). The record is from RNAcentral. Lineage: Eukaryota; Viridiplantae; Streptophyta; Magnoliopsida; Malpighiales; Euphorbiaceae.
AGUUUCAGCACCAAUAAUCGUUUUACUGUCGUUCGACCAUAAAGAUUUACCAGGUCGUCCCUGCCCUAAUUGCCCAUCCCUCAAUGGUGGGAGAAAUGAAAAUCCCCCAUCUCUAUGAUCUUUCACUUGGGAAGAUGCAACUUUGUCAUUCCCAGCCACAUAUGUAUUGGAAUCUUGUUUACUGAUUCUCUUUUUGUCCUUGUUAUGUCUAUCUACAUAUUUCUUGUCUGAUUCAUGAUGAGAGGGUCUCGAUCCACCAAUUCCAGCAUCAUGCUCAUGAAAGUACUCUAUAUCCCCUUCACUACUGCCUCCAACCAAACUUUCCCGUACUUCACUGCCAAAAUCAGCAGCAUCACUGUUCAUACCCACACCAAUUGAUCUAACUGAACCAUGUUGAUAAUCAUCAACACAAGUAUCAUCCAUCCAUGGUUUUCCACAGUCAUUCAUGGCCUUUUCAUCCCCUAGCAUGAUGAGCUCAUUUGUCUGAGGGACAAAUCCUUGCCAGACAGGUUCUG